UAUUCUGGAAAAUAUCUUCAACCUAUGAUAACAAAUAGAUAGUUUGGAAUUUCCGAGUUGAAGUGCUAAAUGGAAGGUCCUUGGCAAUUCUUUCGAAUAAGUGCUCAUUUUGUGGAGUAUGAACAAACAAAAGUUCUGCCAAUAAUUCCAUAUAAAAAGGGAAUUAUCUUAUCCGCUCUUCAUAUAUUUUUAUUUCUUUCGAAAGAAACAUGACAACCAAACUGUUUCUGCUAUUUCUGUUGGUUACGCUUCUAAUGGGAUCUUCACAAUGUGCAAUCUUGAAGAGAAGCGCUCUGCCUUGUUAUCCCCACUGCUACCAUCCACGACCUCAUCAUCAUCAUUAUCAACAUCAUCAUUCCCAUCACCACCAUCAUGGACAUCAUCAUCAUCACUGGUGAAAAUUUAUAUGCGAAAACCCCUCUCUACCAUUUCUUCUCCAGGGAGGCGAAUCUUCAAGUUGAUGAUUUUUUUUAUAUAGUAGAUAUUACAAAAACAACACAAAGAUGAGUUAGAUAUAUCAAGAUGAAAUUUCAUUAUAAACAUAUUUUUUUUUCUUUCAAAUUACUGAGUUUGUUUCAAUUAUACCUAUAUAAUUAAUUCAACUAGUUAUAUUAUAUUAUAUUAUUAUAUUAGUUAUAUAUUAGUUUAUAUUCAAUUUUAAUUUGAGAAAAAUGAUUUAUUACUCUAGUUAAUUAUUUACAUAGUUGUUAUGUAAAUCUUAUACAAAUAAAAUAAGUAAAUAUAUGAAUACUUUAUACUUCGUUCUUGAUCUAGAGUGGGCUAGAAAUUUGUGAUUGUAUAUUUCCAUACAGUUUGAAAAAACUUUGUUAUACUUUUAUGGAUCAGUUAUGAAUACAUACCUAAGGCUUCCAAUAUGUCCAAGUAGAAGGAUUCACCCAUGUAGUUUUCCUUAGUUAGGAAGCUUCAAAGGGAAAAAAAUUAAAUACCAAAAAAAAAGAAUGAAGUUCGAUCCUUUUUUUGCCACUCCUUCACCAUCGACUAUUUCUCAUAAGAGUUAUAUUUCAAAACCAAGUGUCGACUGAUACAGAUCUGGACCGUUUGAGAUAUCGAUUUCUAAUGUGAUUUAUGUUAGCUGACGUAUUAUUCAGAUGAACAGAAAAGGAGUGAAACUCAUUACACACCUUGUUGCACAUGACGAGCCUUCAGCACGACUUAAAGAGGUGCAAUCAUUAGAAAUUUUGCAAUAUCCUCCGUCUACUUUGGUUUUAAUUAAAUUAGUCCAGUUAGAAAUCCUGCUAAGUAGAUACCACAAUGAUUUUUUUUCAGUAAUUCAUGAGACUGUGAACAGUCAUGGUCAGUAUAUUUUAUGAUUCAGAAAGGUGAAAAUUCAUAGUGGUAUAGAUAUUGAUGUUACUACGUGCAGGCAGAAGAACCAAGCAUGAAAUUUCCAUAAAUAAUUUAUAUGAUUGCAAGUUGCGUUGGAAGUUGCUCAGGUUUAAUUGCUCAUUGUUUUCUGUGGUUUCGAAGACGAGGCAGUAGAAGUUAAAAUGUACUCGGUAUCGAGAAUCCUGUUCUUCAUAUUCAUACUGGUUUUAUUUCAUACAGUGCAGAAUGCAAAUAUUCCAGAUUAUGAAGAAUUUGAACCAAUUGUUGUACCAAGUAACAGAAGAGAAGCUCGACUUGAACUAGGAUACGACAAUUUCAAAACAGUAAAAUCAUCGAAUCCGUCAGAGGUCCAUGGAAACAAUUGGGAAUAUUAUCAGUGAAGGAUUUGAUAAUUGAGUUCAAUGAAUUAUUGAAAUAUAUUGUGUAUAUAAUCCUUGAAAUAUGAAUAAAUAAUUAAAUUAUCAUUCAAUUCAAAUGAAAUAAAUUUCGGACUCAA
Harmonia axyridis is the source of this 1843-nucleotide long non-coding RNA. RefSeq lists it as uncharacterized. The transcript is spliced from 4 exons. Lineage: Eukaryota; Metazoa; Arthropoda; Insecta; Coleoptera; Coccinellidae. The record is from RefSeq and is a predicted model, not a curated record.